RNAcentral lists this ribosomal RNA (485 nucleotides) under Glyphocrangon perplexa. RNAcentral describes it as "partial 16S ribosomal RNA". It matches the Rfam family "Bacterial large subunit ribosomal RNA", at positions 1893 to 2588 of the family's 2925-position model. Lineage: Eukaryota; Metazoa; Arthropoda; Malacostraca; Decapoda; Glyphocrangonidae. The record is from RNAcentral.
GUGUAGUCUAACCUGCCCACUGAAGUUUAAAGGGCUGCGGUAAUAUGACCGUGCGAAGGUAGCAUAAUCAAUAGUCUUUUAAUUGAAGGCUGGAAUGAAUGGUUGGACAAGAAGUGAACUGUCUUUUUUGAAGUAAUUGAAUUUUACUUUUAAGUGAAAAGGCUUAAAUGGAUUAAGGGGACGAUAAGACCCUAUAAAACUUUACAUGUAUAUAUAUAUUUAUUUGAAAAUAAAGGUAUAAAGAAAGUAUAAAAAAAAUUUGUUUUAUUGGGGCGAUAGUUAUAAAAAUGAUAAUUGUAAUUUUAAUAAAAUAUAUAUAAAUAGUGUAGUUGAUCCUUUAAUAAGGAUUAUAAGAUUAAGUUACUUUAGGGAUAACAGCGUAAUUCUUUCUGAGAGUUCUUAUCGAUGAAGGUAGUUGCGACCUCGAUGUUGAAUUAAGGUUUUACUAAGGUGUAGAAGUUUUAGUGAUAGGUCUGUUCGACCUU